CUAGUAACGGCGAGUGAAGCGGGAAGAGCUCAAAUUUGUAAUCUGGCACUUUCAGUGUCCGAGUUGUAAUCUCGAGAAGUAUUUUCCGCGCCGGACCGCAUACAAGUCUGUUGGAAUACAGCGUCAUAGUGGUGAGAACCCCGUAACUGAUGCGGAUGCCCGGUGCUUUGUGAUAUACUUUCGAAGAGUCGAGUUGUUUGGGAAUGCAGCUCAAAUUGGGUGGUAAAUUCCAUCUAAAGCUAAAUAUUGGAGCAAGACCGAUAGCGAACAAGUACCGUGAGGGAAAGAUGAAAAGCACUUUGGAAAGAGAGUUAACAGUACGUGAAAUUGUUGGAAGGGAAACGCUUGAAGUCAGACUUGCUAUUCGGAGUUCAGCCGCAAGGUGUAUUCUUCGAUUUGCAGGCCAGCAUCAGUUUUUGGGGGUGGAAAAUCGUGGUUUGAAGGUAGCAGUUUCGGCUGUGUUAUAGCUUUCCACUGGAUUCAUC
Molecule: ribosomal RNA, 485 nt
Filed under: Leucosporidium scottii
Lineage: Eukaryota; Fungi; Basidiomycota; Microbotryomycetes; Leucosporidiales; Leucosporidiaceae
Description: LSU rRNA
Rfam family: Eukaryotic large subunit ribosomal RNA
Source: RNAcentral